RNAcentral lists this ribosomal RNA (301 nucleotides) under uncultured bacterium. Its description in RNAcentral is "partial 16S ribosomal RNA". It matches the Rfam family "Bacterial small subunit ribosomal RNA", at positions 509 to 808 of the family's 1533-position model. The record is from RNAcentral.
CAGUCGCCACGGGAAUACGGAGGGUGCAAGCGUUAAUCGGAAUUACUGGGCGUAAAGCGCACGCAGGCGGUCUGACAAGUCAGAUGUGAAAUCCCCGGGCUUAACCUGGGAACUGCAUUUGAAACUGUCAGGCUGGAGUCUUGUAGAGGGGGGUAGAAUUCCAGGUGUAGCGGUGAAAUGCGUAGAGAUCUGGAGGAAUACCGGUGGCGAAGGCGGCCCCCUGGACAAAGACUGACGCUCAGGUGCGAAAGCGUGGGGAGCAAACAGGAUUAGAUACCCGAUAGUCCCUGUCUCUUAUACC